AACAUUAAAAAAUAAAUUAAUGUAAUUCAUUACAUCAACAGGCUAAAGAGGAAAAAUCACAUGAUCAUAUUUAAUUGAUGCAGAAAUUACAUUUGGAAAAAAAAUCCAACACCUAAUCAUAAAAUAUAUUUGAACUCUUCCAAAGAAAAAAAUCCAAACUUAAUUAUGUCUUCUGAAGCUGAUUUUUGUCAUAUAACACAUGAUAUAAUAAGUUGGAAUAUAAUAUCCUCUAUUUCACAAGAUUGCUGCAAAAAUACAAUGAGAUAUACUGGUUUAUAUAUCUUUAAAAGAGAUAAUAUGUAAAGUGUCU
This 310-nucleotide long non-coding RNA is filed under the name Pan troglodytes (chimpanzee). Its description in RNAcentral is "long non-coding RNA NONPTRT014101". Lineage: Eukaryota; Metazoa; Chordata; Mammalia; Primates; Hominidae. The record is from RNAcentral.